ACUCAAAUGAAUAGACGGGGGCCCGCACAAGCGGUGGAGCAUGUGGUUCAAUUCGACGCAACGCGAAGAACCUUACCCAGGCUUGAACAGCAAAUGACCAGUCCCGAAAGGGGCCUUCCGCAAGGACAUUUGUAGAGGUGCUGCAUGGCUGUCGUCAGCUCGUGUCGUGAGAUGUUGGGUUAAGUCCCGCAACGAGCGCAACCCUUGUCUACUGUUGCCAUCAGGUUAUGCUGGGCACUCUGUAGAGACUGCCGGUGAUAAACCGGAGGAAGGUGGGGAUGACGUCAAGUCAGCAUGGCCUUUAUGUCUGGGGCUACACACGUGCUACAAUGGCCGGUACAAACCGUCGCAAACUCGCAAGGGUGAGCUAAUCGGAGAAAGCCGGUCUCAGUUCGGAUCGUAGGCUGCAACUCGCCUGCGUGAAGUUGGAAUCGCUAGUAAUCGCGGAUCAGCACGCCGCGGUGAAUACGUUCCCGGGCCUUGCACACACCGCCCGU
This 497-nucleotide ribosomal RNA is filed under the name uncultured bacterium. Its description in RNAcentral is "partial 16S ribosomal RNA". It matches the Rfam family "Bacterial small subunit ribosomal RNA", at positions 899 to 1397 of the family's 1533-position model. The record is from RNAcentral.